GAUGAACGCUGGCGGCAUGCCUAACACAUGCAAGUCGAUCGGUAAGGCUCUUCGGGCUUCACGUGAGGCGGACGGCUGAGUAACGCGGAGGAACACACCCUGCAGUCUGGUAUAUGACACCGAAUGGUGUUCUAAUACCUCAUACGGUCUUCGGAUUAAAGUAUUUAUGCGCUGAAGGAGUGUCCUGCGUCAUCUUAGAUAGUUGGUGAGGUAAUGGCUCACCAAGUCGAUGAUGUGUAGCUGGGCUGAGAGGAUGAUCAGCCAGACCGGAACUGAGACGCGGUCCAGAAUAUUACGGAAGGAAGGAGAGAAGAAUAUAGCAAAAUGACGGAAAGCAUGAAGGAGCAAGGCCGCGGACAGGAUGAAGGCGGUCGAGAAGAGCAGUGCUUUAAUAAGACAAGAUUAUGACGGUAACUAAUGAAUAAGGAACGGCUAACUACGUG
Molecule: ribosomal RNA, 443 nt
Filed under: uncultured bacterium
Lineage: Bacteria
Description: partial 16S ribosomal RNA
Rfam family: Bacterial small subunit ribosomal RNA
Source: RNAcentral